This 482-nucleotide ribosomal RNA is filed under the name uncultured bacterium. Its description in RNAcentral is "bacterial SSU rRNA". It matches the Rfam family "Bacterial small subunit ribosomal RNA", at positions 30 to 506 of the family's 1533-position model. The record is from RNAcentral.
GCGAACGUUAGCGGCGGGCUUAACACAUGCAAGUCGAGCGAGAAAGGGCUUCGGCCUGAGUACAGCGGCGGACGGGUGAAUAACACGUAGGUAACCUUCCCUUGAGCGGGGGACAACGGUCCGAAAGGACCGCUAAUACCGCAUACGUUUCCUGGGACCUCGGUUCUGGGAAGGAAAGGCCCGCAAGGGCCACUCGAGGAGGGGCCUGCGUAGCAUCAGCUAGUUGGUGGGGUAAUGGCCUACCAAGGCGAAGACGCUUGCUGGUCUGAGAGGAUGAUCAGCCACACUGGGACUGAGACACGGCCCAGACUCCUACGGGAGGCAGCAGUGGGGAAUAUUGGACAAUGGGCGCAAGCCUGAUCCAGCCACGCCGCGUGAGUGAUGAAGGCCUUCGGGUCGUAAAGCUCUGUGGGGAGGGACGAAUGGCGCCAUGAAGAGUGGCGAUUGACGGUACCUCCUUAGCAAGCACCGGCUAACUUCGU